GAUGAACGCUGGCGGCGUGCUUAACACAUGCAAGUCGAACGAAGCACUUUAUUUGAUUUCCUUCGGGACUGAUUAUUUUGUGACUGAGUGGCGGACGGGUGAGUAACGCGUGGGUAACCUGCCUUGUACAGGGGGAUAACAGUUGGAAACGGCUGCUAAUACCGCAUAAGCGCACGGCAUCGCAUGAUGCAGUGUGAAAAACUCCGGUGGUAUAAGAUGGACCCGCGUUGGAUUAGCUAGUUGGUGAGGUGACGGCCCACCAAGGCGACGAUCCAUAGCCGACCUGAGAGGGUGACCGGCCACAUUGGGACUGAGACACGGCCCAAACUCCUACGGGAGGCAGCAGUGGGGAAUAUUGCACAAUGGGCGAAAGCCUGAUGCAGCGACGCCGCGUGAGCGAAGAAGUAUUUCGGUAUGUAAAGCUCUAUCAGCAGGGAAGAUAAUG
Molecule: ribosomal RNA, 445 nt
Filed under: uncultured bacterium
Lineage: Bacteria
Description: bacterial SSU rRNA
Rfam family: Bacterial small subunit ribosomal RNA
Source: RNAcentral